GUCGAGCGAGAAAGGGGAGCAAUCCCUGAGUAAAGCGGCGUACGGGUGAGUAACACGUGGAUAAUCUACCUCUGAGUGGGGAAUAACUCUGGGAAACCGGAGCUAAUACCGCAUAAGCCUGAGAAGGGAAAGCAGCAAUGCGCUGGGAGAGGAGUCCGCGGCCGAUUAGCUAGUUGGUGAGGUAAUGGCUCACCAAGGCGGUGAUCGGUAGCCGGCCUGAGAGGGCACACGGCCACACUGGCACUGAAACACGGGCCAGACUCCUACGGGAGGCAGCAGUGGGGAAUCUUGCACAAUGGAGGCAAGCCUGAUCCAGCCAUGCCGCGUGAGUGAUGAAGGCCCUAGGGUUGUAAAGCUCUUUUGUGCGGGAAGAUAAUGACGGUACCGCAAGAAUAAGCCCCGGCUAACUUCGUGCCAGCAGCCGCG
This 426-nucleotide ribosomal RNA is filed under the name uncultured soil bacterium. RNAcentral's name for it is "bacterial SSU rRNA". It matches the Rfam family "Bacterial small subunit ribosomal RNA", at positions 61 to 519 of the family's 1533-position model. The record is from RNAcentral.